UUGUGAUUGUUUUAAGGGAUUGUCUCUACCUUUUUUUUCUUUUCUUUUUUUUUUACAUUCAUUUUCAUUGUCUGUUGUUUUCCAAUAUGCUGGAGUAUGUGUUCAAAGGGUGCUCUCUUUUUAAAGAGCAGGUUAUCAGUCUUCUCCUUGCCCUCUUGUUCACCAACAAGGAUUUCAUUAUUAACACUACAGAAUGACUCCAUCUGUAGCUCAGUCAUCUCAUGUGUUGCCUGUGCACUCUGCUCUCAUUUCACUGUUCUAUGAGCUGUUAGAUUUAGGUAUGAAAGGCAUGUCAGUUAAUGGAUGAAUGUCAUUAUUAAACAACGGGAGUCUUUAAAAAAAUAUUAAAGAACACUUUUGGUCUCGUAGUUGCCAUAAAGACACCUGUUGUGGCAUAGACUACUAGAGUAUAUAUGUGUCUAGGGCAGGGCUCUCCAACCCUGUUCCUGGAGAGCUAACCUCCGUGUAGGUUUCUGCUUCAACCCCAGUUGUAACCCGAUUCUGCUUAUCAACCAGCUAGGUGUGCUAGAUGAGGAUUGGAGGGAAAACCUACCGGAUGGUAGCUCUCCAGGAACAGGGUUGGAGAGCCCUGGUCUUGGACAUCUGACAUAGUUAGUGGUAGCUAAUUAGAUAGUAUAAAUACCAUGUCAUUAAUCAGUCAUAUGGAAUUUGAUUCAUUCUUCUCUCCUUUGAAUGACACACUGGACUUUAGAUGCUGAUUAGCGAAUAGUACCAGGCAGCAGCCCACGUUUCUACAAUACUACAAUAACGCUAUCUUAGUGGUUAUCUGUACAGUAGUCUUCUGGAAGUAGUUCAAAACGAGUCCAGGGAGAUAUUUGAUGAUGAAAUAAGUUUGGGGAAGUGCAUGAGACUGCGUCAAACCUUUUUUAUGUUAAUUUAUUUGUAUGUUUUGUUUAUGACGCAUUUGUUAUUUUAUAAAGAACGCAUUUCUUUGAAAGAGACAUUAUGUUGCUUUACCAAUGCAAGAACAACAUGUAAAAUGUAAUUAAAAAAAUAUGUAAAGCA
Molecule: long non-coding RNA, 1026 nt
Organism: Oncorhynchus tshawytscha (Chinook salmon)
Lineage: Eukaryota; Metazoa; Chordata; Actinopteri; Salmoniformes; Salmonidae
Source: Ensembl